AGUUCAUUUUUACCGCCGGUGAGCAGGAAUUUUAUGCUUCCCGCGGUUUAAAAAAUGAACCCAA
This 64-nucleotide small nucleolar RNA is filed under the name Dehalococcoides mccartyi GY50. Its description in RNAcentral is "TB11Cs5H3 snoRNA". Lineage: Bacteria; Bacillati; Chloroflexota; Dehalococcoidia; Dehalococcoidales; Dehalococcoidaceae. The record is from RNAcentral.